Molecule: ribosomal RNA, 253 nt
Filed under: uncultured bacterium
Lineage: Bacteria
Description: partial 16S ribosomal RNA
Rfam family: Bacterial small subunit ribosomal RNA
Source: RNAcentral
UACGUAGGGUGCAAGCGUUAAUCGGAAUUACUGGGCGUAAAGCGUGCGCAGGCGGUUGUGUAAGACAGAUGUGAAAUCCCAGGGCUCAACCUGGGAACUGCAUUUGUGACUGCACAGCUGGAGUGCGGCAGAGGGGGAUGGAAUUCCGCGUGUAGCAGUGAAAUGCGUAGAUAUGCGGAGGAACACCGAUGGCGAAGGCAAUCCCCUGGGCCUGCACUGACGCUCAUGCACGAAAGCGUGGGGAGCAAACAGG